GACGAACGCUGGCGGCGUGCUUAACACAUGCAAGUCGAACGGAAAGGCCCCUUUGGGGGUACUCGAGUGGCGAACGGGUGAGUAACACGUGAGUAACCUGCCCUUGACUUCGGGAUAACUUCAGGAAACUGGGGCUAAUACCGGAUAGGAAUCCUUGCUGCAUGGUGGGGGUUGGAAAGCUUCGGCGGUUUUGGAUGGACUCGCGGCUUAUCAGCUUGUUGGUGGGGUAGUGGCUUACCAAGGCUUUGACGGGUAGCCGGCCUGAGAGGGCGACCGGCCACAGUGGGACUGAGUUACGGCCCAGACUCCUACGGGAGGCAGCAGUGGGGAAUAUUGCACAAUGGGCGGACGCCUGAUGCAGCAACGCCGCGUGCGGGAUGACGGCCUUCGGGUUGUAAACCGCUUUCAGCAGGGGCGAAGCUUGUGGUGACGGUACCUGCAGAAGAAGCACCGGCUAACUACGUG
This 465-nucleotide ribosomal RNA is filed under the name uncultured bacterium. RNAcentral describes it as "partial 16S ribosomal RNA". It matches the Rfam family "Bacterial small subunit ribosomal RNA", at positions 28 to 507 of the family's 1533-position model. The record is from RNAcentral.